Molecule: non-coding RNA, 1517 nt
Organism: Neolamprologus brichardi
Lineage: Eukaryota; Metazoa; Chordata; Actinopteri; Cichliformes; Cichlidae
Source: RefSeq, a predicted model, not a curated record
GUACAUACCACAUGAUGACUAUGGACCAUUCCUUCAGAGUGUAAAUGGUUUGGCAGGAAAUUCAUCACACUACUGGCAACUGCUGAAUGGUACAACCCCACUCAAUGUUGGUAUGGGAUGUUACCUUCCAACAGCAAAUGAAGUCGUCACCCUGAACUACACGAAAAUUUAAGACCAUCUAAAAUCUUAUUGUGACUUACGGUCAACCAAUACGCUUUGAUCUUUGGCACGUUGAGGUUAAUAAUUGACUUGUUGUGUCAUUUUUUUGCUUGGGAGUCUUCUAAUCAUAAAUCAGUAGCCUAUCACUAGCUUAGAUUCUUUUACUGGGUUUCUGUCAGACUUUAUGAAUUAAUUACAGCGUUAAUCUACAAUUCUGCCACAGUGUAGUAAUCUGGAGUAAUAGAAAACCCCAUUAGUCACAAGAGCAGUCAGUAAAACAUAUACAACACAACAACUUGAACUGUUUUUUAAUUUACUGCCUUUAUGGCAGCUUUUAAUGUGUUUGAGAGCAAUUAGUAGUUCUCAACUUGCCCCUGACUGCCAUAAUUUUACAUUCAAAUUCCAUUAUUUGAUGCUUACAAGUGGUCUCAGUUUUACUGUAAAAGGAUGGUAUGGUUAUACAGUAGACUGCCCAGAGACUGCUGGCCAGCAAAAACAGCAAGGGGGGUCAGCUGCUGACUCCAUGUCAAAAUAGCUUCUUUAUCCUGCAAAUCAAGUUAUCAACAGCUUGCGAGUCAAAAGGCUUCUGAGAUUGACUGGGCUGCUGACCUCCCCUAUAUUUGAGCUUUUUGGGGCUCCUAGAGGGGUGUGAGAGUGGCAAAAUAAGAUCAAAUUCAUUGCUAAAUAAUUUUUGUAUUAGUGCAUUUUUAUUGUUGAAUAAAAUGUUACUGAUUAUUAGUGUUAUCUUCCUCAAGCAUUAAAUAAAGCAUAGGCUUAUUUAAAGUGUUGUUAACAUGUCCACCAUUAUGUAUCCUAAGACAAUGACAGCUCUAGACCAAGGGUGUCAAAAAUAAGGCCAGAGGCCAGAAACGGCUGUAAGAUUAUCAUACUAUCUUAUGCCACCUUAUCCUUCUAAUCAAAUAAUUGUUGAAUCAUUAUACGGCUAUAGGCCACAUUAUGCCUUGGAUUAAAGAUUGUGAAAUCAUUACACUGUUUUAUGAUGCAUUAUACUGCUGAGUUAUAAGAAAUGCUGCUUGUAUAGAAUCAUGGCCUUCCUUUUCUGAUUACAAAGAGAACAGAACAUACUGUAGAGGUUUUCUGCCCCAUCUCAUCAGGCAGCGAUAAAACAGUAAGCCAAAGCCGUCACUCGGGCACUGUAAGAGAUAAAGAAUGUGGAUGUUUAGGUUUUAUGACUUUGGAGAGGGGCUGAAGCUAUAAGAAUGUGAGAAACAGUCAGACACUUCCAGAUCUGGCGGACACCCUCCUGUCCACAUCUCCCCUCCGGAUGUUUAUGCUCAAAGUGUUGUAUGGAAUAAUGAGAAUUGUAUGGAAUAAAGAGAUUGUUGACUGAGCAUUUA